This 402-nucleotide ribosomal RNA is filed under the name uncultured bacterium. Its description in RNAcentral is "bacterial SSU rRNA". It matches the Rfam family "Bacterial small subunit ribosomal RNA", at positions 355 to 774 of the family's 1533-position model. The record is from RNAcentral.
UGGGGAAUAUUGCACAAUGGGGGAAACCCUGAUGCAGCGACGCCGCGUGAAGGAAGAAGUAUUUCGGUAUGUAAACUUCUAUCAGCAGGGAAGAAAAUGACGGUACCUGAGUAAGAAGCACCGGCUAAAUACGUGCCAGCAGCCGCGGUAAUACGUAUGGUGCAAGCGUUAUCCGGAUUUACUGGGUGUAAAGGGAGCGUAGACGGAUAGGCAAGUCUGGAGUGAAAACCCAGGGCUCAACCCUGGGACUGCUUUGGAAACUGCAGAUCUGGAGUGCCGGAGAGGUAAGCGGAAUUCCUAGUGUAGCGGUGAAAUGCGUAGAUAUUAGGAGGAACACCAGUGGCGAAGGCGGCUUACUGGACGGUGACUGACGUUGAGGCUCGAAAGCGUGGGGAGCAAACA